AUUUCUGACUUAGUCUUCGAGCAUCUUCCUAUUAUGAUACUCUUCUCCUUCUAUUGCAAUAACCCCCUUAAAGAAAUCCUUCAUACUAAUGUCCAGAUUGCAUUUUUUUUCUUUGACAUUGAUGAUGCUGUAACUCUGCCCCCAGGACGUUGCUUUCUUCACCCAGGGGUCAAUGCCAUCUUAGCAGAUGCUGAGUCCUUUCCCGGCUGGGAGGUCGGGAUCCACAGCGGCAUCCCACUGAAGGACACUGAAACAACUGACCUUCGCCUGCACAGCAAACAGAUAGUAAACUAGCCUUCUACUAGGGAUAUCACUGAGAAAAUGCUGGCCCUCAGGUCUGUUUCACUCAGCCAUCUCCUGUUUGAAUUAUUCCUUAUCUCUGAAUUAUUCCUGGAGAGUCUCUCUGAGCCUGCCUUGAACAAGGAGAGGGACUGACAAGGCUGAUGAAACUUUGUGCUUCACACGAGUUCAGGCUGCUUUGCUGAAGACCACUAGGUCCCAACUCUAUGUACACUUUAGCUUGUUUACUUCAUCUGAGACCCAGAACCCCAAGCCCAUGUGCCUGAGCACAAACCAACUUUUCUGCCUCACCUUUUCUAUUAGUACAAUAUUUGAUGCAGUUCAUUAAGUUCCAAGGCCCCUCCCACACACCAGCUAUUGGCAUGACAUCAUUCUUGUGCUUUCCACAAACACCUAUCCCAGGGUCUCUGCUUACAGAAGCUUUGUUCCCACUCCCCUUGCCUGAAACUGUUUUGGCUCGGGCUUUGAGCAUCUCUCUGUAAUAGUCUUGUUCAAUAACGUCUUUCUUUACUCGGGUCCAGACUUAACUUUUUUUU
Molecule: non-coding RNA, 836 nt
Organism: Callorhinus ursinus (northern fur seal)
Lineage: Eukaryota; Metazoa; Chordata; Mammalia; Carnivora; Otariidae
Source: RefSeq, a predicted model, not a curated record